UCCUGACCUCGUGAUCCACCCUCCUCGGCCUCCCAAAGUGCUGGGAUUACAGGCGUGACCCACUGUGCCCGGUUGAGAUUUCUAUGCCUCUUUACCCUCUCUGCCCUGAAACUUUUUGUAGUACAAAUCAUACAAAGUCAUAAGUGGGGAUGUCACAAUUUACCCCGUCAGGGAAAGCAGACAUUUACAAGUACUUAAAAUAAAAUGAGAAUGUUAUAAGGGAAGAAACUCAUGUGAGGGGACUUGGUUGCUUAAAGAUCAGGAAUGUCUCUGAAGUAAUGACAUCUAAGCUGGGAACUGAAGGAUCACCAGGAAUUAGACCAAUGGGAAUGUGGGUGGGUAUUCCAGGCAGAAAGUAGGAUACAUUUGAAAGUACAGAGGUGAGGCCCUCAGGGAAAGUCGUGGAGCUAAGAGAGAUUUGGACCAUAUGUGGAGAGGAAGAGAGGAAGGACAUGAAGUUAGAGGGUCUAGGGACUUCUCUGCAGGGUGGAUUAAGGGAUCAAGGGACACACAGAGCCAGGGAUACUAAUGAUGUUAGUAGACAGCAAGAGAUCUUGGAAGGAACCUGGGAAGGGGCAGUCAGAAAUGCAGAAUAAAAACCAGAAAUGAGUAAUGACAUACAAGACAACUAGUGAGGGAAAAUUCACUUUGUGAAAAGGGCCAACAAUGUGUCAACUACAGCAAGGAAGUCAAGGCUGAAAAGGCUAAAAAGUGGCUGUGGGAUCAAUUAAUGAAGGCAGCGUUGAGGCCUUGGUGAGCACAGUUGUGAGAGAAGAGGUAGAAACCAAAUCGUAGCAGUGGAAAAACAAAUGAAGCUUGAAGAACAGAAGGUGUUUUAAAGAAAGCUGUCUGUUGGGAAGUGAAGGAAGGUGACGUUCCUACAAAAAGAGAAGUACACCAUAACGUUGGUAUGAGUGAAAUCAUUCAUUUUUCACUGAACGCUUACUUCAUGCUGGGACCUAAGCAACAACUGUGGCGACAAUGGACUUAUUGAGAACGUUGAUUAGAUGACCAAAAGUGCCCGGCCCUUUGCCAAGUGUGAUAGAAAACAGGGAGAAGGUAUCAUCAUCGUUUCACAGAUGCCUACAUUCCAAAGGAUCUCAUCAGAGCAUAAGAGCUCUUCCAGCUGUUGUUUAUCCAUGAAUUAUUAUUGCAAUGCUUAACCGGAGAUAGAAACUCACCAUGAGCGUAUCAACCUUUCCUCUUCAGAAGUUUCACUUCAGUUUGAAAGAAAACGCAACUGGUGAAACAAUUGCUGUGUGUCAUAAAUUAUAGGUAUCUGACAUUCAUUACAAGGAAAGCAACAGUCAAAUAUCAUGGGACUCAUAUUUAUUUAUGUCUAUAUUAUCUGUAGAUAUUAUAGAUAAUAUAUAUGUAUACUUUGACAGAGAAGGAAGAACACCACUCUGGAGUGUUUAAUCUACCAUAGUUUGAUACUGUCUUUCUUGUUUGUGCCAAUUUGAAUUACUUGGUUCUGUUUUUUGGUUAUCUGCAAUUAGUGUGCUAUUUAUUUCCAGAAUAGAGGAAACUGAAGCUUACUCUGUGUACACAAAAGAAUACUGUACCCAUUCAGUCAUGUACAAAUAGAGUUAUCUCAUGGAAAA
This 1604-nucleotide long non-coding RNA is filed under the name Homo sapiens (human). RNAcentral describes it as "HSALNT0333184". Lineage: Eukaryota; Metazoa; Chordata; Mammalia; Primates; Hominidae. The record is from RNAcentral.